UUCAUGGAGAGUUUGAUCCUGGCUCAGGACGAACGCUGGCGGCGUGCCUAAUACAUGCAAGUCGAGCGGACCGACGGGAGCUUGCUCCCUUGGGUCAGCGGCGGACGGGUGAGUAACACGUGGGUAACCUGCCUGUAAGACUGGGAUAACUCCGGGAAACCGGGGCUAAUACCGGAUGCUUGAUUGAACCGCAUGGUUCAAUCAUAAAAGGUGGCUUUUAGCUACCACUUGCAGAUGGACCCGCGGCGCAUUAGCUAGUUGGUGAGGUAACGGCUCACCAAGGCGACGAUGCGUA
This 295-nucleotide ribosomal RNA is filed under the name Bacillus licheniformis. RNAcentral's name for it is "partial 16S ribosomal RNA". It matches the Rfam family "Bacterial small subunit ribosomal RNA", at positions 1 to 285 of the family's 1533-position model. Lineage: Bacteria; Bacillati; Bacillota; Bacilli; Caryophanales; Bacillaceae. The record is from RNAcentral.